RNAcentral lists this unclassified non-coding RNA (22 nucleotides) under Mus musculus (house mouse). Its description in RNAcentral is "oocyte_clustered_small_RNA10583". The record is from RNAcentral. Lineage: Eukaryota; Metazoa; Chordata; Mammalia; Rodentia; Muridae.
UCCCACCUCCAUAGUCUUAGCC